This 165-nucleotide small nuclear RNA is filed under the name Catagonus wagneri (Chacoan peccary). RNAcentral's name for it is "U2 spliceosomal RNA (ENSCWAG00000022005.1)". The stretch from base 1 to 104 matches the Rfam family "U2 spliceosomal RNA". Rfam says of the family: U2 is a small nuclear RNA (snRNA) component of the spliceosome (involved in pre-mRNA splicing). Complementary binding between U2 snRNA (in an area lying towards the 5' end but 3' to hairpin I) and the branchpoint sequence (BPS) of the intron results the bulging out of an unpaired adenosine, on the BPS, which initiates a nucleophilic attack at the intronic 5' splice site, thus starting the first of two transesterification reactions that mediate splicing. Lineage: Eukaryota; Metazoa; Chordata; Mammalia; Artiodactyla; Tayassuidae. The record is from RNAcentral.
AUCGCUUCUCAGCCUUUUGGCUAAGAUCAAGUGUAGAAUCUCUCUUUGACUUUUGCCAUUUUAAUUAUGAUAUGUCUUGGUGUGGGUCUUAUUUGGGACCUUCUGUGAUUCCUGUACCUGGCUAUGUUUCCUUCUUUAGGUGUGGGAAGUUUUCAGCCAUAAUUU